AAGAAAGUUUUAAUGGUGUGGUUAGCUAGAUUAUUUUACUCUAUUAAAUAACUUAAUUGUUGAGUAAACUUGAAUGCUUAAAAAAACUAGAUUAAGUUUUUAAUUCUACUUAAUUAUCAACUGCUUUUAACGCAAAAAACUUAUUUGGAUUUGAGAAAAGGGAACAACAUUCUCAGAGUUUUUCUUCUUUAACUCUAAAAAUUAAAAAUAAUAAUAUCAGUGGUUUUUAUAAAUAAAUUUCUAUAGUUAAAAAGGCUGAAAGGAAAAAAUACGAUGAUUUGUUUCAAGAAAGAAAGUGACUUACUUCAAAAUGUCAUUUUAAAAUUUUUAUUCUUUAAUGAUAUUCUGGUGUUAUUACCAAAUGUUUAGCAGUAUGAAACCUAUAAUAUUAUAUACCAUACUAUAUACCCUAUUUUACUUAUAAAGUUAAUAAUCUGUAAAGUAAUUUGUAAAAAUUUUUUAAUUGUAAAAUUGCUACAUAAGAAGACAAGUUGUUAGAUGAAAUUCAAAUAUUUUCUAUGUUUGUGUUGUGUAGGUCAAAAAAUAAAAAACAAAGAUGACCAAGAGAUUCAUUUUAAGACACAUCAAUCUUCAUCAUCUUUAAAUAAAAAGGAUAAACAUUAUGGAUUUCCAUUAUCUCGAGCAAAAACAAAGAGUUCAAAAUAUUGGUGGUAAGAACUGUCAAAACUUGAGAUAGCUAUGAUGAAGAGUUUUAUGACAAAUUCACUCAUGGCCAAAUCUAAUAUGGCAGCUGGAAAAGGCAAAGAAUCUUUUUAGUCUAACCAAGUUAUACAACUUAAUAAAAGUAAAGAAAAGAAAAAUCAAAGAAGAAGUUAAAAUGGUCAAAGCUGUUCUUGUUAAGCACCUUGGAGAGCGAAAAAUUGUUAUUGCUAAUAAUAGCAGUAUUAUUGAUUUUUUGAAUAAUAGUAUGCAUAUUUAUUUUUAAAAAUUUCAGAAAUUUACAUUUAAUAAUGUUUACUGAUUGUUGUUAAGAAUUAUUGUUAUUAAAUAAUAUUGCCUAAGUAAA
This is a non-coding RNA of Hydra vulgaris (swiftwater hydra), 1027 nucleotides long. The record is from RefSeq and is a predicted model, not a curated record. NCBI's taxonomy places the organism in Eukaryota, Metazoa, Cnidaria, Hydrozoa, Anthoathecata, Hydridae.